Prunus avium (sweet cherry) is the source of this 421-nucleotide non-coding RNA. The record is from RefSeq and is a predicted model, not a curated record. Lineage: Eukaryota; Viridiplantae; Streptophyta; Magnoliopsida; Rosales; Rosaceae.
UCCAGUUCCGCACUCUUCUGCUUCUGCUUCUUCUUCUUCAACUUACUCGCAUUCGCAUAUAUCAGAAAAAACCAAAUUAUUAUUUAUUAAAAAGAAAAAAGAAGAAAAAUUUCGUUGGGUCCGUUCUAGUUUCAUUCCUGGACGUCACAGAGUCUCCCUUUCUCUCUAGUCUCUGCUACUGAUACAUAGCUGAUUAAAUGGAUGAGCAAGUGGGAAAAGCAAAGCCGGCAAUUUCUUUUGAGUAUGAGCUCUUUGAGGGGGACCCUGAUCACCUAAGAACUGUUGUAGCUACACUCACGCCUACACUCACUCCAACUAGUCCGUGGAUCAAUCCUGCCUCACUCAACUUUAAGUACCGAAUUGGGCGAGGUCCCUUUGGUGACGUUUGGCUAGCAACUCAUCAUCAGUCUGCAGAUGAUUA